RNAcentral lists this ribosomal RNA (301 nucleotides) under uncultured bacterium. Its description in RNAcentral is "partial 16S ribosomal RNA". It matches the Rfam family "Bacterial small subunit ribosomal RNA", at positions 509 to 807 of the family's 1533-position model. The record is from RNAcentral.
CAGCAGCCGCGGUAACACGAGGGGGGCAAGCGUUGUUCGGAAUUAUUGGGCGUAAAGGGUGCGUAGGCGGUUUGGCAAGUUUGGUGUGAAAUCUUCGGGCUCAACUCGAAGUCUGCAUCGAAAACUGCCGGGCUUGAGUAUGGGAGAGGUGAGUGGAAUUUUCGGUGUAGCGGUGAAAUGCGUAGAUAUCGGAAGGAACACCUGUGGCGAAAGCGGCUCACUGGACCAUAACUGACGCUGAUGCACGAAAGCUAGGGGAGCAAACAGGAUUAGAUACCCCAGUAGUCCCUGUCUCUUAUAC